GACGAACGCUGGCGGUGUGCUUAACACAUGCAAGUCGAACGGUAAAGCCCUUUCGGGGGUACACGAGUGGCGAACGGGUGCGUAACACGUGAGUAACCUGCCCUCAUCUCUGGGAUAACAGUCGGAAACGGUUGCUAAUACUGGAUAUGAGCUUGCAAGGCAUCUUGUGGGUUGGAAAGAUUUUUUUUGGUUGGGGAUGGACUCGCGGCCUAUCAGCUUGUUGGUGAGGUAGUGGCUCACCCAGGCUUCGACGGGUAUCCUGCCUGAGAGGGCUACCGGCCACAUUGGGACGGAGAGACGGCCCAAACUCCUACGGGAGGCAGCAGUGGGGAAUAUUGCACAAUGGACGGAAGUCUGAUGCAGCAACGCCGCGUGCGGGAUGACGGCCUUCGGGUUGUAAACCGCUUUCAAUUGUGACGAAGCUUUUUUGUGACGGUAGCAGUAGAAGAAGCACCGGCUAACUACGUG
Molecule: ribosomal RNA, 468 nt
Filed under: uncultured bacterium
Lineage: Bacteria
Description: partial 16S ribosomal RNA
Rfam family: Bacterial small subunit ribosomal RNA
Source: RNAcentral